UCAAAAUCUUCUAUCUGUUCUUAAUGAGUUUUAGAUAAUUUUAGUUGUAUUUCUUUGUAAUUUUGUGUUGUACAAAGAUUAAUUUAACAUUUUCUCUGGAAGUAUUAAUUUAGAAAGAUAAUUAUGCUUCAUUGGUGUUGUGCUUUGAAGUGUGAAAUGCAAAGUAAUUGUGAUAAAGUUCACUUUUAAACUGAACUAAAUAAGGUAUCUUAGAGACAACAAUGGUUAAAUGCAAUACAAUGUACAGGUUUUACUAGCGAAAUGAAAAUUUUCCUGUCCUGUCUGCUGUAAUCAUUUUAUAUCUGGAAAACCAGCCGACUUAAUCGAUAAUAACAAUCUCCAGAUUGGGUUCCUUCAAUAAAUAUGGGCUAUUAACACAAUGAAAUAAGUUCCAGAAAAUCUAAAAUGGAGUGGUAUCAAAGGAGAAUUAAAGGAAAAAAUAUUCAUAUUGAAAUUAUUUAUAAGGCACUGGACUGUCUUAAAUUCUACAAUAAUACUAGAAUCAGCUGAGAGAAGUGGUCUACAAAAAACCAGGAAGGAAACGGAAUAUGUGGCUACGAAAGGCAAAAGAAAGGUUUACAAAGCAAAUGUGACACAUUUUUUUGAAAUAUUUAGGAAUAUCAGUAAAUUGCAUUAAAAAAAUGUAUGAAAAGAUUUUGUUCAAUAAAAAUGUUUAUAUUUAUCAAGGAUGUAUUAUUUGGUAUGGCCACAUAUUGUCAGUGA
Long non-coding RNA from Diabrotica virgifera virgifera (western corn rootworm), 723 nucleotides. RefSeq lists it as uncharacterized. NCBI's taxonomy places the organism in Eukaryota, Metazoa, Arthropoda, Insecta, Coleoptera, Chrysomelidae. The record is from RefSeq and is a predicted model, not a curated record. The transcript is spliced from 3 exons.